RNAcentral lists this long non-coding RNA (1158 nucleotides) under Marmota monax (woodchuck). Lineage: Eukaryota; Metazoa; Chordata; Mammalia; Rodentia; Sciuridae. The record is from RNAcentral.
CAACAUCCUUAUAUCAGAGAAAGCAUUUGGCAUUUGGUUUUGAUGGGAGAAGUGUGAAAUAAUUUGUGGCCAUCUUUAAUUCAUUGCUGUCCACCCUUUGGUCACAAGUUUACAUUCCUCCCACAUCAAAAAUGUAUUCACAUCCUCCUAAGAAAGUCUCAUCUUAAUAGGCUAUCUCUUGAGAUUCAGGGUCUAUAAAUAAAGUUUGUGUAGAGGUGAAUGUACUUAGAUGUUUUUCCACUCAGUCUGAAUGAAUACCAGUGCACUUAAGAGACAAAUUACAUGUACCCUCUACUCACCUAUCAACAUAAAUAGCAAGAGAGGCAUACAUUUAACUGCAGUAGGCACAGUCAUUGAAAAAAGAAUGAGAGUAAAAGGAACAUAGCAGUCACUGUUCACUAGUAAUUCUAAAAUUAAGUUGAACAUACAUUGCUAGUUUCUUGAUUUAGGUUUCAGUCCUGCUUUUUGAGAAGAAAUAUUCUGUGGCUCUUUCUUCUGCCCUCUAUUCUCCUGGUUUAACCCUGCAUCAGUCUUUCUUUUUUUAUAGAAAAUAGAUUCAGAAUUAUGCUUCUAGACAAAUAGUGACCACAUUACAUUCCUUCCUGAAACAUCUAACAAACAGACCACAUAUAUAACACAAUGAUUUAAAGACAUGGAGAAUAACACAACAAAGUACAGUGGUCUGUAAGAGAUGAGAAACAAAUGAGAUGGGCCCCAUCUUACUAUCUUGAGAGAGUUUCCACAUUGUGGUGCAAGGUAGAAGAAUCCAAGAAAAUCCCAAAUAUACCUAUCCAAGUUGAAGAAAUACAGCUGUGAGAAUAGAGAGACCUAGACUACAAGGCAGAUCACCAUAGGAAGGAUUGCCAAACAGAAAACUCCAGGCCUCUGUGGCGUGUCAUCUUUGAGGACCAGCUAGAAUUUAAAAUUUUAUGAUUGAUUGGGAAUUGAGUAGAGUACACAGAUGGUAAUGUGUAGCAUAAAAUGAUUGCCUCAGUAGUGUAGAAUAAUUAUGCCAAGGCAGAACACAGAUCUGGUCUUGACAAAUGUUUAAAGUGAAGAAAAAAAAAAAGAAUUAAACUGUUUAAGUAACAUAAUUGCAUCCCAAAACAAAGCACAAAAAUAUUUACAGGAAUAAGAAUAUAUCAAAUAUAUUCAGUA